UACGUAGGGGGCUAGCGUUGUCCGGAAUCAUUGGGCGUAAAGAGCGCGUAGGCGGCCAGAUAAGUCCGGUGUGAAAGUCAAAGGCUCAACCUUUGAAUGCCGCUGGAAACUGUCUGGCUAGAGUCCGGGAGGGGCGAGUGGAAUUCCUGGUGCAGCGGUGAAAUGCGCAGAUAUCAGGAGGAACACCAAUAGCGAAGGCAGCUCGCUGGGACGGUACUGACGCUAAGGCGCGAAAGCGUGGGGAGCGAACAGG
Molecule: ribosomal RNA, 253 nt
Filed under: uncultured bacterium
Lineage: Bacteria
Description: partial 16S ribosomal RNA
Rfam family: Bacterial small subunit ribosomal RNA
Source: RNAcentral